UUAUUUUAGCGGCGGACGGGUGAGUAACGUGUGGGUAACCUGCCUUUUACUGGGGAAUAAUCACUGGAAACGGUGACUAAUACCGCAUACGGUUCUUGGAAGGCAUCUUCUAAGAAAGAAAGGAUUUAUUCGGUAAAAGAUGGGCCCGCAUCUGAUUAGCUAGUUGGUGAGAUAACAGCCCACCAAGGCGACGAUCAGUAGCCGACCUGAGAGGGUGACCGGCCACAUUGGGACUGAGACACGGCCCAAACUCCUACGGAAGGCAGCAG
RNAcentral lists this ribosomal RNA (269 nucleotides) under uncultured bacterium. RNAcentral describes it as "partial 16S ribosomal RNA". It matches the Rfam family "Bacterial small subunit ribosomal RNA", at positions 87 to 354 of the family's 1533-position model. The record is from RNAcentral.